This 406-nucleotide ribosomal RNA is filed under the name uncultured bacterium. RNAcentral's name for it is "partial 16S ribosomal RNA". It matches the Rfam family "Bacterial small subunit ribosomal RNA", at positions 28 to 526 of the family's 1533-position model. The record is from RNAcentral.
GAUGAACGCUAGCUACAGGCUUAACACAUGCAAGUCGAGGGACCGGCGCACGGGUGAGUAACACGUAUCCAACCUGCCCUUUACUCGUGGAUAGCCGUACGAAAGAAAGAUUAAUACUCGAUAGAAAGGGGGGGGAUGGGUUCCAUUAGGUUGGUGGUGAGGUAACGGCCCACCAAGCCUUCGUUGGAUAGGGGUUCUGAGAGGAAGGUCCCCCGCAUUGGAACUGAGACACAGUCCCCACACCGACGUGCGGCAGCAGUGAGGGAGAGUUGUCAAUGGGCGUUAGCCUGAACCAGCCAAGUAGCGUGAAGGAUGAAGGCUUAUUGGUCGUCAACUUCUUUUAUAUAAGAAGAUGUAUUAUAUGAAUAAGGAUCGGCUAACCCCGUGCCAGCAGCCGCGGUAAUUC